RNAcentral lists this long non-coding RNA (871 nucleotides) under Physcomitrium patens. Its description in RNAcentral is "long non-coding RNA (PPAT_LNC004622)". Lineage: Eukaryota; Viridiplantae; Streptophyta; Bryopsida; Funariales; Funariaceae. The record is from RNAcentral.
GCUUGGAGGUUCAAGCGGACUACGACUGUCGCAGUAGCCAGCCGUCACCCUGGUGCAUGCAAACUUAGCCCAAAUAGUCGGGUUCGAAGUUUGCAAAUAUGUGCUGAUGAAUGGAUAAUUUUAAGCUUGCACUGCACUUUAAAAGAACAAUCGUUCAACAGGAUCAGUCAGAGCUGUGAAAUCUUCGAAACUAUUACAGGUGAAGCUGAUGAAAGCACGGAUGAAUUGCCGAAGAAACUGCAACUUUUAUUGGAACGAAGCAAACAAGGAAGCGUCUAUCUAGGUCAAACUUCCAACCAGGCUUGAGCGCGGAGUGCUGCGAGUGUAGGAAAGGGUGUUGCCAAACACCCAGAAUUCUUUUCGAUAUGGUCGAUCAAUAGAUACCAAGAUGGCUCCCCUCGCUUGUGGAUUCCGUUGUUGAAUCUGCAAACACUAAAGAAGUACCUAGUUUCUCUUUGAGCAUUACAGACGGUACCCAACUCAUCGUAUUGGUCUUUUAGUAGAGCGACUGCCAUGUUUCCUUCGGAACACCUUUUAGUUGCAUUGCAGCUUCUUGUUCUGUAGUGCCUCCAAAGGGUAGGCACAUAUUAUCAAAGUUGCGGUAUAAACCCACAAACAUACUUUGUGUUGCAAGAUGUCAACAUCGAUAUAAGAGUGUUAUUCUUGAAAUUAGAGCUGGGCAGUGUGAGUGAUUUGGAUAAUCUAGUUCUAAGCAGUUUAAGGUAGAGAUUGGAAGACGGAUAAUUUUUAAAAAAUGAGGAUUGUAAGUCUAAUUGAAUUUAUUUAGUUAAUCCAACACAAUUAGAGUAAAAAGUAUCAUUAUUGAGUAUAUUUGAGUUUGUAAUAUUUAUUUGAUUGGAUAUGAAAUACA